UUCCGGUUGAUCCUGCCGGAGGCCAUUGCUAUCGGGGUCCGAUUUAGCCAUGCUAGUCGCACGGGUUCAGACCCGUGGCGAACAGCUCAGUAACACGUGGCCAAGCUACCCUGUGGACACGGAUAACCUCGGGAAACUGAGGCUAAUCCGUGAUACCGCUCCCAGGCUGGAGUGCCGGGAGCGCGAAACGUUCCGGCGCCACAGGAUGCGGCUGCGGCCGAUUAGGUAGACGGUGGGGUAACGGCCCACCGUGCCGAUAAUCGGUACGGGUGGUGAGAGCCAGAGCCCGGAGAUGGAAUCUGAGACAAGAUUCCAGGCCCUACGGGGCGCAGCAGGCGCGAAACCUUUACACUGCACGUCAGUGCGAUAAGGGGACCCCGAGUGCGAGGGCAUACAGUCCUCGCUUUUGUGUACCGUAGGGAGGUACACGAAUAAGGGCUGGGCAAGACCGGUGCCAGCCGCCGCGGUAAUACCGGCAGCUCAAGUGAUGGCCGCUGUUAUUGGGCCUAAAGCGUCCGUAGCCGGCCGCAGAAGUCCGUCGGGAAAUCCACCCGCCUAACGGGUGGGCGUCCGGCGGAAACUCUGCGGCUUGGGACCGGAAGACUCGAGGGGUACGUCCGGGGUAGGAGUGAAAUCCUGUAAUCCUGGACGGACCGCCGGUGGCGAAAGCGCCUCGAGAGGACGGAUCCGACGGUGAGGGACGAAAGCUAGGGUCUCGAACCGGAUUAGAUACCCGGGUAGUCCUAGCCGUAAACGAUGCUCGCUAGGUGUGGCGCAGGCUACGAGCCUGCGCUGUGCCGUAGGGAAGCCGUGAAGCGAGCCGCCUGGGAAGUACGUCCGCAAGGAUGAAACUUAAAGGAAUUGGCGGGGGAGCACUACAACCGGAGGAGCCUGCGGUUUAAUUGGAUUCAACGCCGGA
This 919-nucleotide ribosomal RNA is filed under the name uncultured archaeon. Its description in RNAcentral is "bacterial SSU rRNA". It matches the Rfam family "Archaeal small subunit ribosomal RNA", at positions 1 to 922 of the family's 1478-position model. The record is from RNAcentral.